CUCUAAUCAAGUUUUGGUAAACAUGACCAAUUUGUAGAUUUUGGCGGAUUUGGAACGUGAAUUUGGAGUCGCAUAAGAAGCAGAAAAGGUACACCAGAUGAGCCACAGCUAUCAUAGAAGAUGUUCCAGCGGAGUUGGCAGGCUCCACUUGUUCUGGAGUGCUGCCGAGUCAGAGUGUCUGAGCCAUGAUGUUUGUUUGAUGUUAGAGACUUUGCAGACAGAGUCGUGGGUAUAGAGUGUCGAUAAUAUGUUGUAUCAUAAAGUCCAUGUGAUUGCAGAUUCUGUUUGACUUGAGUACGAUGGAAAAAAAAAAUCUCUUGAAAGUUU
Molecule: long non-coding RNA, 327 nt
Organism: Lycium barbarum (goji berry)
Lineage: Eukaryota; Viridiplantae; Streptophyta; Magnoliopsida; Solanales; Solanaceae
Exons: 2
Source: RefSeq, a predicted model, not a curated record